GACGAACGCUGGCGGCGUGCUUAACACAUGCAAGUCGAACGGAAAGGCCCCCACUUUUUUGGUGGGGGUGCUCGAGUGGCGAACGGGUGAGUAACACGUGGGUGAUCUGCCCUGUACUUCGGGAUAAGCUUGGGAAACUGGGUCUAAUACCGGAUAGGACCAUGGUUUAGUGUCUCAUGGUGGAAAAAUUAUUGUUUUGGUGCAGGAUGAGCUCGCGGCCUAUCAGCUUGUUGGUGGGGUAAUGGCCUACCAAGGCGUCGACGGGUAGCCGGCCUGAGAGGGUGGACGGCCACAUUGGGACUGAGAUAAGGCCCAGACUCCUACGGGAGGCAGCAGUGGGGAAUAUUGCACAAUGGGCGCAAGCCUGAUGCAGCGACGCCGCGUGGGGGAUGACGGCCGUCGGGUUGUAAACUCCUUUCGUUAGGGACGAAGCCGCACCUUUUUUGGGUGUGGUGACGGUACCUUUGUUAAGAAGCACCGGCUAACUACGUG
Molecule: ribosomal RNA, 492 nt
Filed under: uncultured bacterium
Lineage: Bacteria
Description: partial 16S ribosomal RNA
Rfam family: Bacterial small subunit ribosomal RNA
Source: RNAcentral